This 254-nucleotide ribosomal RNA is filed under the name uncultured bacterium. RNAcentral's name for it is "partial 16S ribosomal RNA". It matches the Rfam family "Bacterial small subunit ribosomal RNA", at positions 524 to 776 of the family's 1533-position model. The record is from RNAcentral.
GACAGAGGUGCCGAGCGUUAGGCGGAAUCACUGGGCUUCAAAGCGUGUGUAGGUGGAUGCCUAAGUACCUUGUGAAAUCCCACGGCUUAACCGUGGAACUGCUUGGUAUACUGGGUGUCUUGAGCCAGCUAGGGGCUACCGGAACAAAUGGUGGAGCGGUGAAAUGCGUAGAUAUCAUUUGGAACGCCAAUGGUGAAAACAGGUAGCUGGGGCUGUGCUGACACUGAGACACGAAAGCCAGGGGAGCGAACGGG